Molecule: ribosomal RNA, 253 nt
Filed under: uncultured bacterium
Lineage: Bacteria
Description: partial 16S ribosomal RNA
Rfam family: Bacterial small subunit ribosomal RNA
Source: RNAcentral
UACGUAGGGAGCAAGCGUUGUCCGGAAUCAUUGGGCGUAAAGCGCGCGUAGGUGGCCUCAUAAGUCCGCUGUGAAAGUCAAAGGCUCAACCUUUGAAAGCCGGUGGAUACUGUGAGGCUAGAGUACGGAAGAGGCGAGUGGAAUUCCUGGUGUAGCGGUGGAAUGCGCAGAUAUCAGGAGGAGCACCAAUAGCGAAGGCAGCUCGCUGGGACGUUACUGACACUGAGGCGCGAAAGCGUGGGGAGCGAACAGG